This is an RNA transcript of Dioscorea cayenensis subsp. rotundata (Guinea yam), 1622 nucleotides long. RefSeq lists it as uncharacterized. The transcript is spliced from 7 exons. NCBI's taxonomy places the organism in Eukaryota, Viridiplantae, Streptophyta, Magnoliopsida, Dioscoreales, Dioscoreaceae. The record is from RefSeq and is a predicted model, not a curated record.
UCUACAGCUCGCAUGGGUGUGGGCCGUGGUGGAAGAGCUUGCGGUGACGAUACCGCACCCGAGGUUUAAGGGGUUUUUGUGUUGCAAUGCAUCGUGAUCCGUUUCUGAGAUCAAGGGGACUGGUGGUAGAGCAGGGCGUGUCGAAUUUGCAGGCAAGGGGCGGGGGAUCCGACGAGGAUGCUAUCGGAUUGCUAUUUGCUCGCUAUGUCUACUUUGCUUUAUGAAAAGGAGAGUUUGGAUCGAUGCCAUUGAAAAGCUUCAGAUGGUUCAUUUGGUUGGAAGGAGCAUCUUUACCAGUCAGAGUUGCAGCGUUGGAGGGACUAGUGGGACUUCAACUGGAGAAUGGAGAGGAAGUUUAAUCAUGCAGAUGGAUUGCUGACAAAAAUGAUGUGCAUGGCCGAAGAUCGUUAUGGUUUAUUCUUCCACAUUUGCAUAGAUUAUUAAUUCAUUACUGUUUAUCUUUUGCCAUCCACAUACAUAGAAUAGUGAUUCUUGGGGUGAUACUUACUUGCAAAGCCCUCUUUUAAAUUACCAAGACAGGAUGGAAAAUACGGGUAUAAUACCCAAUUUGGUCCCUUUAUUUUUCUUUCUCUUUUUUUUUUGGUCUCUCUACUCAGAAAUGUGCCACACUAAUCCCUCUACUCUGAAAAAUGACCCAAUUUAGUCUGUUUACCCUUAAUCUCUUCUCAUUUAAUCCUUUUACUCUUGAAAAAUACAAUUAAUAAUUGACCUAUUUUAGAAUAGAAGGGAUUAAGUAGAAUUAUUUUCAAGAAUAGAGGGACUACUCGGGAACAUUUUUGAGUAGAUGGACCAAAAAGAAAUAGAGAAAAACUGAGGAUCAAUUCGGACGAGUACUGCAUAGCUCCAAGAGGUUAGACUGAAACCAGCUGUAAUCAUGUGCUCUUUGGCAUUAUAAUUUGUGCUCUUGGUUUUGAGGACAUCUUUUACAGCCUCAUGCACUGAACUUUCAGGUUAACAUUUAAUUGUGGCAUUUGUCCUGCUAUGUAAAUGGCUAAAUUGUUCAGCACAUGACAGGGACUAUAUAGGAGGGCCUUAAAAUUGCUGAAAGCUCCAGGCUUUGAUUCUGAAGUAAAGAGCAACCAUGUUGAUAGGAGAGAUGUAGUUGCCCUUGCAACAGGAGAAUAUGCAAAAAUCCUAAUUCAACAGAAUAAAGAGGAAGAUAAACUGAGCAGCAAGUUCCACUUUUCUAAAGGAGAAGAUGCAAAGAUCCGAAAUGAACGGUUUGGAAAGGCAAAAGCUGGAUGGUUGAUCUUUGAUGAAGAAGAAUAUGCAAAAUGCCUAAUUGAAGAGACAGAACAAAUGAGCAAAUGGGCCGAAGCCAUUCUCUCUGGCACAAGCUUUGGAGCUUUCUGAACCUUCUCAGACACUGGUUAUAGACGCCCGGAUCAGCGAGUCCUAUGAUCAUUGUCAGUGUAUAUUUCAUUUGGCAACUCUUGAAGUAGUCCUUGUAUGAAUUCACUGCUCAGAAAUGUUGAGAACCUGGUUUUGAAUUUUUCCUGUUAGAAUAAAUGGUGAUGCUUUUGUGCUCUGUCAAUGGCAUCUGAAUAAUUACUCAGUGUUUUCAGUUAUCUCGAACUUGUUUGUGGUACUUGAGAUUUCAA